Molecule: transfer RNA, 72 nt
Filed under: Camelus bactrianus (Bactrian camel)
Lineage: Eukaryota; Metazoa; Chordata; Mammalia; Artiodactyla; Camelidae
Also listed under: 1 other name
Rfam family: tRNA
About the family: Transfer RNA (tRNA) molecules are approximately 80 nucleotides in length. Their secondary structure includes four short double-helical elements and three loops (D, anti-codon, and T loops).
Source: Rfam by way of RNAcentral
GUGGGUAUAGCUCAAUGGUAGAGUGUGUGCUUAGCAUGUAUGAGGUCCUGUGUUUAAUCCCCAGUAUUUCCA